GGCCCUUAGUUGGUCAAGAGUGGCCAUUUAUGUCUAUGAUUUAUAAAGCAACCUAUUGAUUUUCGGUUGUUCUGUUAGGAACUCAUAAUCGCUUGGUCGCUGGUUCAAGUCCAGCAGGGGCCACCA
This 126-nucleotide transfer RNA is filed under the name Salmonella enterica subsp. enterica serovar Muenchen. RNAcentral describes it as "tRNA-OTHER". The record is from RNAcentral. RNAcentral also lists the same sequence under 1 other name. Lineage: Bacteria; Pseudomonadati; Pseudomonadota; Gammaproteobacteria; Enterobacterales; Enterobacteriaceae.